CUCACGCUAUCUCAAGCAUUGUUAGAGGUAAUUGACUUUGGUUUAACCCCGUUCUAUGAUUAUUUCUUUACGUUGCAUUUUUAUGAAACUGUAUAUUGCUGAAACAGGGGAGAAGCAAGUUUGGAUGUCAGAUGAAGUUUGGAAGAAAGAUGCUACUUAAAUUCUGUGUACAUUCUGAUCUCAUUUUUUGUUUAAGCAUUAAUAAGUUUGAAAAUUGGUUCAACAUACGAGUAGAGUCGUGGAGAGGCCUAAAGUGUUUCCUUCGAUCAAACAUGUUACAAAGAAAAUUAUACGAUCAUUCAUUACAACCAUCACAACCUUCAUCUUCCUGUAGAAAGGAAAGUUGAGACGAAGCAGAUAACGGUUAAAAAUCUUCCAGCAGUUAUGUAAGGAGCACACUCAAGGAACUUUAUUUAGAUAGGAUAGCAAAAUAUAUAUAAGACAAG
This 446-nucleotide long non-coding RNA is filed under the name Capsicum annuum. RNAcentral describes it as "long non-coding RNA (CANN_LNC005447)". Lineage: Eukaryota; Viridiplantae; Streptophyta; Magnoliopsida; Solanales; Solanaceae. The record is from RNAcentral.